AGUAUGCAGCUACUAAUGAUGGAUUAUUUGCUUUUACUUUUUAAAACAUUUUUUUAUUAUUAUAAACAGAACUUUAUGAGGUUUAUGUAGUGAAAUUUUAUUUUAUUAUAAAAAAAAUAAAAAGAGGAGAUACUUAUUUUGUAUAGUGUUGCCUUCCAUUCCAUGGCUGGUUCUUGGGGGUAACAUGUUCAAAGCAGUUGAAUGGGGGGGCUAGUGAAGGAGCAGCUUCUGUUGCAGAUUUUCUACACUUGUUGGCUAAGAGGAAGAUGUGUGAUGAGGUCUGGUUCCACAAACCACCUUCUUCUUUGUUGUUUAGUUUGCGUUGUUGUUGAUUUCUUUUGCAUGUUUUCAUUGAUGUUGUUCUCUUUGGCCUGUUGUGGCUGUUUUAAUGGAAUUACUAUUGGAUUAAAAAAAAAUAUGUAGAGCAACAUGGACACAUAUAAUCUUUUAACAAAAAGAAAAAGAACCACAUGGCCUCUCUUGGCUCAAGAGGAAAGCCCUUCGUUAAUAAUGGACUUUUGAAUGAUGGUGCAACAUUUGGC
RNAcentral lists this long non-coding RNA (542 nucleotides) under Prunus persica (peach). RNAcentral's name for it is "long non-coding RNA (PPER_LNC005948)". Lineage: Eukaryota; Viridiplantae; Streptophyta; Magnoliopsida; Rosales; Rosaceae. The record is from RNAcentral.